RNAcentral lists this ribosomal RNA (253 nucleotides) under uncultured bacterium. RNAcentral describes it as "partial 16S ribosomal RNA". It matches the Rfam family "Bacterial small subunit ribosomal RNA", at positions 524 to 776 of the family's 1533-position model. The record is from RNAcentral.
UACGUAGGGUGCAAGCGUUGUCCGGAAUUAUUGGGCGUAAAGAGCUCGUAGGCGGUUUGUCGCGUCUGCUGUGAAAACCCGAGGCUCAACCUCGGGCCUGCAGUGGGUACGGGCAGACUAGAGUGCGGUAGGGGAGAUUGGAAUUUCUGGUGUAGCGGUGGAAUGCGCAGAUAUCAGGAGGAACACCAAUGGCGAAGGCAGAUCUCUGGGCCGUAACUGACGCUGAGGAGCGAAAGCAUGGGGAGCGAACAGG